CCGCGCCCCCUCAGCACUCCAGCAGCGACACUUGCGAGCGCCUCGGCCGCCCCACACAGCCCGCGGCCCUCAGCGCCUUCUCCUCACCCGCCAGCUCCCCCCGCAUCCCCUUUGCUUUCCUCCGCCUCUGGGGGCCCUCCUCCGUGACCCCUGAAUGGCCCCCACUUCUCUCAGAUCCACACCUCGCACCUGUCAGUGCCCCGCCCUGUCCUGUCCAGUCCCAGCGGAUCGACCGCGCCCGCCCGGGGCCCCUCCCAACCCCAGCGCCGUCCUCCGCGCGGCUCCCACUUGCUGCCCCCCCUCGCCACCACCCUUGCCCCUCGGCUCCCUGGGUCGUCAGAGGUCCCCCGUCUCCUCCUCCCAAGCCCGCAGUUCCCUCCCCUCCCUUCCCUUCCUCCUCUGCUGCUGAGCGACUCUUCCUGCUCGCUUGCUUUCUCACGCAGGCCGUUAAGGACUCCUGAAGAGGCCAGAUCCAAAGAAGUCUGAGAGAAGACCAUGUGGAGAGAGGGCCAGCGAUCUGAGUCGGUCCAGCCAUUGCAGCUGAGCUGCCAGUUGUAGCCACAGGACUGAACCCAGGGUUUGUCUACCAUUGUCCCACUUGCAUGAAUAAAUUGCUUUCUGAAGGCAUGAAGACUUAGACAAGAAAAACAAGUGGAAAGAGGCUGGUCACAGAAAGCU
Molecule: long non-coding RNA, 678 nt
Organism: Balaenoptera musculus (blue whale)
Lineage: Eukaryota; Metazoa; Chordata; Mammalia; Artiodactyla; Balaenopteridae
Exons: 3
Source: RefSeq, a predicted model, not a curated record